Molecule: long non-coding RNA, 465 nt
Organism: Epinephelus moara (kelp grouper)
Lineage: Eukaryota; Metazoa; Chordata; Actinopteri; Perciformes; Serranidae
Exons: 3
Source: RefSeq, a predicted model, not a curated record
UUCCACCUCAGCCAGGACUGCAGCGUCACUCACAGCAUGAACUGAAAACUCAUCUCCUCGCUGAACACUUCGCAUCGCUCUCCACUCCACCUUCCUCCUUCACUUGCAUCUGAUUUGAAUCCUGCCUUACAAGAAAGGGGAAGUCCCAGGGUGGUUUCCUUCAUCCAGGCAUUGAGGACAAGAGCCUGUCAAAACCUCAGCAGGAGUCCAGUGAAGGCUCUCUGUGGCCUGCUCUUGUUCCCAGCAUGGCACGGCUGCAGCACAGAAACCACAGAGGAAUAUUCUGUCCUCAGGGGAAGAGGAUCAAGCUUCUGUGAAAGAGACAACUUCAGAGUGCGAUGUCAUAUGGAGUCAUCCUCACUCCUCACCCCGCCAUCCGCCCUCUUGCUGCCAGGCACCCCCUGACCUCCGACCUGCGACCCCCUGCCAGCUAACCGCCCCACCCUGCAGGCUCUAUCUCACAGC